This 433-nucleotide ribosomal RNA is filed under the name uncultured bacterium. Its description in RNAcentral is "partial 16S ribosomal RNA". It matches the Rfam family "Bacterial small subunit ribosomal RNA", at positions 29 to 507 of the family's 1533-position model. The record is from RNAcentral.
AGCGAACGCUGGCGGCAUGCCUAACACAUGCAAGUCGAACGAGACCUUCGGGUCUAGUGGCGCACGGGUGCGUAACGCGUGGGAACCUGCCCUUAGGUUCGGAAUAACUCCCCGAAAGGGGUGCUAAUACCGGAUAAUGUCUUCGGACCAAAGAUUUAUCGCCUUUGGAUGGGCCCGCGUUGGAUUAGCUAGUUGGUAGGGUAAAAGCCUACCAAGGCGACGAUCCAUAGCUGGUCUGAGAGGAUGACCAGCCACACUGGGACUGAGACACGGCCCAGACUCCUACGGGAGGCAGCAGUGGGGAAUAUUGGACAAUGGGCGAAAGCCUGAUCCAGCAAUGCCGCGUGAGUGAUGAAGGCCUUAGGGUUGUAAAGCUCUUUUACCCGGGAUGAUAAUGACAGUACCGGGAGAAUAAGCUCCGGCUAACUCCGUG